UCUGUUGAUGUUUUUUGAGUCUCCACCUUCAUCACAGACUCUUUGCAUCAGUUCAGAUGUUUUUCCAGUGUUUUGAUCAUGAACUGGUCGUUUUUCCACAGAUUCUUCUUCUUUUCUUUUCUCUGAACGUGGACAGUCUGAGUGUCAUUGCAGUUCCUCUUUUCUCCACAUGGGGGGGCAGCAGGACGGGCUUUGUAGAUAAUCCUUGAAUGUAGACUUGGAUCAGGUCGGGUCUGAAUCGUUGCUUUUUUUCCGUCGUCCUGUUCGAUCCCGUCUUGACCCUCAGGUGUUUUUUUGUUGUUUUUCAUUGUUUUUUUUCCGUUUUUACAACCACGCCACAAAGCCAGCGAUCGCAAACUGAAUCAGGGUUUUUUCCUCAAUCACUCUCAGCACGAUUAAGCUACAUCCCAUCGCUCCAAAUGUCCCUCAUCCAAAUGUCCCUCAUGGCUUCCCGUAGUCACAUAGCGUCUCCGUUUUAAGGUUUCAUUUAUUGGAGUGUUGUGGGGGGGUUUUUUCCACCGGGGGGAAAUUCACUCAGAAACUCCCCGACGCUAUUACUUGAACUUUACUGCAUUGCUCACUGUUGAAUGUCUUUAUAAGAAAAUAUACAUUUAUUGAAGAAAAACGCAGAAAACGUAGAGUUCCUUUUGGUUUUGUCGGCGACGUUUUCAGAGUUUUAUGACAGAUGUACAGUAUCGGCUCCAGAACAGAUGCCACUUAGAGCUACUUUAGGAGGGAAGGAGGAGCUUUUGGAAACUUUACUCAGAGAUUUGUCGGAUCUUUUUCCUUCACCGAGGGCUUCGAUAUAAUUGCACACAUCAUCGUCAUCGCCAUCGUCUACAGGAGAAUUUAGUUUCCGUUUUCACCGACGCAGCCUCUGUUCAAGCCUGUUUUUAGUCGUUUUCUGACCAAAGAUUUGAGUUGGUGUCGAUUGUCGGGUUCGGUUCAAACGUCUUCUUCUGUUUUUUUUUUUUUUUUUCCGUUGUGUUCGUGUUUCAGAGGAUCAAACUGCGACGGUUCAUCUGGAAAGUCUUGGUUUAACGGUGUCCUGGCGGUGAAGUCCAUGAACUGGUACCGGUCUGUUUCUGGUUUCACGUGUCUUCGGUUAGGGGUUUUUUUGCACAUGAAGUCGGUUUGGUUUUGAAGUGUUGAACGUCCUGCAGAAACAGUUUUAAGGCCCAUUCAUGGUCCACAUUAAAGACACACUACGGACGCCGCCUUC
Sphaeramia orbicularis (orbiculate cardinalfish) is the source of this 1222-nucleotide long non-coding RNA. RefSeq lists it as uncharacterized. The transcript has 3 exons. Lineage: Eukaryota; Metazoa; Chordata; Actinopteri; Kurtiformes; Apogonidae. The record is from RefSeq and is a predicted model, not a curated record.